RNAcentral lists this ribosomal RNA (524 nucleotides) under uncultured bacterium. RNAcentral describes it as "partial 16S ribosomal RNA". It matches the Rfam family "Bacterial small subunit ribosomal RNA", at positions 28 to 523 of the family's 1533-position model. The record is from RNAcentral.
GACGAACGCUGGCGGCGUGCCUAAUACAUGCAAGUCGAGCGCAGGAAACUGACGGAACUCUUCGGAGGGAAGGCAGUGGAAUGAGCGGCGGACGGGUGAGUAACACGUAAGGAACCUGCCUCAAGGAUUGGGAUAACUCCGAGAAAUCGGAGCUAAUACCGGAUAGUUCAACGGACCGCAUGGUCCGCUGAUGAAAGGCGCUUCGGCGUCACCUUGAGAUGGCCUUGCGGUGCAUUAGCUAGUUGGUGGGGUAACGGCCCACCAAGGCGACGAUGCAUAGCCGACCUGAGAGGGUGAUCGGCCGCGCUGGGACUGAGACCCGGCCCAGACUCCUACGGGAGGCAUCAGUAGGGAAUCUUCCACAAUGUGCGAAAGUCUGAUGGAGCAACGCCGCGUGAGUGAUGAAGGUUUUCGGAUCGUAAAACUCUGUUGUAAGGGAAGAACACGUACGAGAGGAAAUGCUCGUACCUUGACGGUACCUUACGAGAAAGCCACGGCUAACUACGUGCCAGCCGCCGCGGUAA